Molecule: long non-coding RNA, 681 nt
Filed under: Oryza brachyantha (malo sina)
Lineage: Eukaryota; Viridiplantae; Streptophyta; Magnoliopsida; Poales; Poaceae
Description: long non-coding RNA (OBRA_LNC002936)
Source: RNAcentral
UCAUCUCGUCUGUUUGAUGAUCUUCUUCCUCACCUUCAUAAAACAUGCCACCCUUGAAGAUGCUCUUUGACCACAAUGAUUCUUGGCUUCACUAGACGCUUGCUUGAGCUUGAUCAUAGGGUGUUUUCAUAGAUUGCAACAUCAGCUCUACCAUAUUGGUGUGUUCACGAAACCUCCACCCAAAUGGACUGAGGGGAGUGCAUCUCAUGUGACACCAUGUUGACGGUUUCAUGGCGCCGCCAUAUAUCUCUAUGACACCAUUGAUCUUCACUCGAAUCUUUAGAGCUCUCUGGGGUUGAGGCGCAGUUCCCUCUCUGUAUAUGGAUGUCUAGCGUUGAUGAAACGAAUUAAUCAAUACAUGACCAUUGUAGACUCAUGCCUCAUGAUGAUCUCGCACCACUGCCAUCAUUAUCCUAGAGGAGUGGUAACAUCCAAAUUAGACUGUGAGAACCAUAAUAGCUUAAUUAGGAUGUAAUAUACGUAAUCAUAAUCUGAAGAUUAGUUUGUUAGUGUAGAAGUCCCCGCAUACCAUCAUUGUCUGUGCUACACCAUUGAUGUCUUUUUGUUGUAUAUUUCAUGAUUCCUCCAACUCCUACGUUAUCUGCAAUAUGUGUGUGUUGUUUGUAAAUUCAGCCAAAUAAACUACUAGGUGAUUCACAUAUAUGUUGCCGGACAUCAGGU